This 508-nucleotide ribosomal RNA is filed under the name uncultured Pseudomonadota bacterium. RNAcentral describes it as "bacterial SSU rRNA". It matches the Rfam family "Bacterial small subunit ribosomal RNA", at positions 397 to 896 of the family's 1533-position model. Lineage: Bacteria; Pseudomonadati; Pseudomonadota. The record is from RNAcentral.
CCGCGUGAGUGAAGAAGGCCUUCGGGUUGUAAAGCUCUUUCGCAAGGGAAGAAAAGAUACAAGUGAAUAGCUUGUGUUGUUGACGGUACCUUGACAAGAAGCACCGGCUAACUACGUGCCAGCAGCCGCGGUAAUACGUAGGGUGCAAGCGUUAAUCGGAAUUACUGGGCGUAAAGCGUGCGCAGGCUGUUUUGUAAGUCAGAUGUGAAAUCCCCGAGCUCAACUUGGGAACUGCGUUUGAAACUACAAGACUAGAAUAGGUCAGAGGGGGGUAGAAUUCCACGUGUAGCAGUGAAAUGCGUAGAGAUGUGGAGGAAUACCAAUGGCGAAGGCAGCCCCCUGGGAUCAUAUUGACGCUCAUGCACGAAAGCGUGGGGAGCGAACAGGAUUAGAUACCCUGGUAGUCCACGCCCUAAACGAUGUCAACUAGUUGUUGGUGGAGUAAAAUCCAUGAGUAACGUAGCUAACGCGUGAAGUUGACCGCCUGGGGAGUACGGUCGCAAGAUUA